This 466-nucleotide ribosomal RNA is filed under the name uncultured bacterium. Its description in RNAcentral is "bacterial SSU rRNA". It matches the Rfam family "Bacterial small subunit ribosomal RNA", at positions 329 to 793 of the family's 1533-position model. The record is from RNAcentral.
GGCCAGGCUCCUACGGGAGGCAGCAGUGAGGAAUAUUGGUCAAUGGCCGCAGGGCUGAACUAGCCAAGUCGCGUGAGGGAUGACGGUCCUAUGGAUUGUAAACCUCUUUUGUCAGGGAGCAAAGGGCGCCACGUGUGGCGUUUUGCGAGUACCUGAAGAAAAAGCAUCGGCUAACUCCGUGCCAGCAGCCGCGGUAAUACGGAGGAUGCGAGCGUUAUCCGGAUUUAUUGGGUUUAAAGGGUGCGUAGGCGGAAUAUCAAGUCAGCGGUAAAAAUUCGGGGCUCAACCCCGUCGUGCCGUUGAAACUGAUGUUCUUGAGUGGGCGAGAAGUAUGCGGAAUGCGUGGUGUAGCGGUGAAAUGCGUAGAUAUCACGCAGAACUCCGAUCGCGAAGGCAGCCUACCGGCGCGCAACUGACGCUCAUGCACGAAAGCGUGGGUAUCGAACAGGAUUAGAUACCCUGGUAC